Molecule: long non-coding RNA, 1901 nt
Organism: Alligator mississippiensis (American alligator)
Lineage: Eukaryota; Metazoa; Chordata; Crocodylia; Alligatoridae
Exons: 3
Source: RefSeq, a predicted model, not a curated record
CAGAAAACCUGGUAUAGAAAGGUCCAUCUAAAGAACAGAGGAGUUCUAGUUGAACAGAUUCUGUUUUACAUUUGCAAACUUCCCAACUCAUGUUACAACUCACAUUACAAACUCACGUUACUCACUCCUGUAUUGAACGUGAACUAGCUUUGGCCUCCAUACUGCAAAAACCUGAGCAUGUCUCAUUGAAACUGGUAGAUUUGUGUACGGAGGUAAAGUAACAUGUUGAAAGGUUCAGGAAUUAUAAUAUUGUGGAUCCCAGUCACCAAAAUGCACAUGCACCUUUUUAACUUCAUACAUAUCAAUAUUCCCAUUGAUGUCACCGAGACUUCUCACAUGAUUGUACCUAUGCACUCAUUUACAUAUUAACAGAAUGAGGUUCUGAAUGCUUGGUAAAGAAAAGAAAACACUUUCUAGGCUAAAGGUGCUGAUAAAGUAGUGCCAACUGCACAGCAGAGGGGAGGUAAUGCUCUCUGGUGCAGGGCAGGAUGACUCAUGGCAGGAGAAGGAAGGGAAAUGCCACAAACGUGCAUUUUAUGACUGUUCUCAACAGGAACAAUAUGCAGUUUCGACUUACAACGCUUGAUCCGAUGUGACGCCACACCAGUGAACAAGUUCGCUGUAUCGCUUAUCUCCCUGGAGAACAUCUGUCCAAACUUCCUUGGACACUUUCUUUAAGAAAGCAGCCAAGACUCCAGAAAAACCUGCAGCCAAGACUCCUGAGAAGACUCCAGCCAAGAGCCCUUCAAAAAGUCCAACUGAGAGCCUUUCAAAAAGUCCAGCAAAGUCACCUCAAAGAAGUCCUUCCAAAUCAAUGAUUGCUUUUUACAAUAUAAAUACAUUAAUACAGCUAUAUUACUCAUCUAUAAUUGAUCAAAUACAAAAUUCUGGAGUAUUUUUUGUGAAAAUAGGACAUCGGGCCUUGGUUCAGGAACAAAUCCGCCAUUUAUAACCUUGUUUCUUAUGAGAAAAUUGGUUCCAAGUUAUGUUUCAACUAAUGACGCAGUUUUCAGGAACCAAUCAUGUCAUUAGUCCAAGGACUGCCUGUAUAGGAUAUCCAUGUUUGUACACAUACAGACAUCAUGGGUGCCAACAAUAUCACAUCCAGGCAGUGUCUGGUCUGGAUAGGCAGGCUUCUAAAACCUGUGUCAAAGACAUAGCUAUCAGCAUUUGGAUCUGUUCAUAUGACUACCAUAGUGUGUCAGUACUUAGGAGGAGCAAGACAUUGACUGUGAAUUCAGUACACUAAGCAUUGUAAAAUGAGUAAAAGAUGAAUGUCUCGUUGGGGUAGGGACUAAUCCAGCAGAGUUCAAUUCAUAAGGGGUGCACUUCUAGAAUUAUGAAAUGAAUCAGCUUCUCUGAGUCUACAUGCCCUAGCCUGUUAUCCCAAACACGAGCGUAAACCAAGAGAACAAAAUCUUGAGUCCAUCCUUUUGCUUUGCUACAGCAGGUGAGAAAGUGUUUUUUAUCCCCUUGUUAGCCAGCUGUUAAAAAGCAGUGACACACCUAUCUGCUCCUGCCUGUCUAUAAGGAAGAAGACAUUUAGAGGGGAAUUUGAAUUCAAUUCAAGUGUAAAGAGAGGAUAAAAUAUGCUAUUUCUAAGAUGGAAGACAAACAGAAAAACUGGAAGGUUAUUAAUGAAAGAAAAAUACGACAUAAAACAACCCAACCAGAUGCCCUUUGUGCUUUCUUCAUUCCUUGAAAUGUACCCAGCCUUUUUUUCCUCUACAGAUCCCAUUUAACUGUGUGAAGUCAAUACGAUCUUUAGAAACGAAUUACCCAGGGAUCAAUAAUUGGAAUGUGCACUUUGACCAGUAUUCCUACUGUUGACCUAUUUACAUGAUGAUCGUGUCACUCAAUAUUCAAAUAAAGGUGAUAAAUAAGUGAUGUAAUUCCUAAGA